AAACACCCGCGUUAGCGAUUGCAGCGGCAUCCUUUUUUGUUUUUCUCAAAAAAGAUAUAGCGGAAAGCGCGACCACGU
This 78-nucleotide small RNA is filed under the name Tenacibaculum todarodis. RNAcentral's name for it is "Tenacibaculum sp. LPB0136 Flavo-1 RNA". It matches the Rfam family "Flavo-1 RNA". Lineage: Bacteria; Pseudomonadati; Bacteroidota; Flavobacteriia; Flavobacteriales; Flavobacteriaceae. The record is from Rfam by way of RNAcentral.